This 494-nucleotide ribosomal RNA is filed under the name uncultured bacterium. Its description in RNAcentral is "partial 16S ribosomal RNA". It matches the Rfam family "Bacterial small subunit ribosomal RNA", at positions 28 to 507 of the family's 1533-position model. The record is from RNAcentral.
GACGAACGCUGGCGGCGCGCUUAACACAUGCAAGUCGAACGGAAAGGCCUGCUUUCCCUUGUGGAUUGCGGGUACUCGAGUGGCGAACGGGUGAGUAACACGUGAGUGAUCUGCCCCCAACUUGGGUAUAAGCCUGGGAAACUGGGUCUAAUUCCCGAUAGGACUGCAGGGUGGUGCCUGUGGUGGAAAACGAUUUUCUAGUGGUUGGGGAUGAGCUCGCGGCCUAUCAGCUUGUUGGUGGGGUAAUGGCCUACCAAGGCGGCGACGGGUAGCCGGCCUGGGAGGGUGGACGGCGACAUUGGGACUGAGAUACGGCCCAGACUCCUACGGGAGGCAGCAGUGGGGAAUAUGGCACAAUGGGCGGAAGCCUGAUGCAGCGACGCCGCGGGGGGGAUGACGGCCUUCGGGUUGUAAACUCCUUGCGACAGCGAGGAAGCCACCUGGUUGGAAGGGUGGUGACGGUAGUGGUAGAAGAAGCACCGGCUAACUACGUG